This 342-nucleotide ribosomal RNA is filed under the name Triticum aestivum (bread wheat). Its description in RNAcentral is "partial small subunit ribosomal RNA". Lineage: Eukaryota; Viridiplantae; Streptophyta; Magnoliopsida; Poales; Poaceae. The record is from RNAcentral.
AUGGCACAAAGUGAUCUUUUUCCUCUAUUUCUAGAUCAAAGCCUGCACGUUAGAUUAUUUGGGAUGAUUUUGCCCUCCUGUACCAAAAUUAGCCGCGAGACAGAAGGAGAGGAACAACAGGGCCGCCACCUUGCCAUCCUUCCUCCCAGGCGCUGCUCUUCUCCUGCCGUCGCCUUGCCGUGCUCUGCCCGCCCGCCCGUUCAUGUGGAGGAGGAGGCGUGGAUGUGUUGUGGUAAGCUCGAUGCUCCCUCGCCAAGCGGCAGAAGGCAAGCCCCGCUCCUUACUCUCGCCGCACCGUUUUUUCGAAGUGUGCCUCAACAUCUUCUUAAUGCUGCCGUGUGA